Molecule: long non-coding RNA, 325 nt
Organism: Nicotiana attenuata
Lineage: Eukaryota; Viridiplantae; Streptophyta; Magnoliopsida; Solanales; Solanaceae
Exons: 3
Source: RefSeq, a predicted model, not a curated record
GUUUCGGCUGCUUCACGGUAUUUCUCUCGAGUUUCUCAAUCUUCUCUUUCCUUUUUCCUUUUUCAGUGUUGGAUCUCUCCAGUGUUGAUGUAAUUACUGUAUGGGCCAAAAUUAGAUCAGAGAAAUUCGGCACGCGGAAACAUAAGGUCGUGGUCGGAUAGGCCGAGGUCGGACAGGCCGAGGACGGACAGUCAUCAAUAAGGUCGUGGUCGGAUAGGCCGAGGUCGGACAGGCCGAGGACGGACAGUCAUCAAUAAGGUCGUGGUCGGAUAGGCCGAGGUCGGACAGGCCGAGGACGGACAGUCAUCAAUAAGGUCGUGGUCGG